GGGUGAUUAGCUCAGCUGGGUAGAGCAGUUGACUUUUAAUCAAUUGGUCGCAGGUUCGAAUCCUGCACGACCCACCA
RNAcentral lists this transfer RNA (77 nucleotides) under Klebsiella variicola. RNAcentral's name for it is "tRNA-Lys". It matches the Rfam family "tRNA". Rfam says of the family: Transfer RNA (tRNA) molecules are approximately 80 nucleotides in length. Their secondary structure includes four short double-helical elements and three loops (D, anti-codon, and T loops). Further hydrogen bonds mediate the characteristic L-shaped molecular structure. tRNAs have two regions of fundamental functional importance: the anti-codon, which is responsible for specific mRNA codon recognition, and the 3' end, to which the tRNAs corresponding amino acid is attached (by aminoacyl-tRNA synthetases). tRNAs cope with the degeneracy of the genetic code in two manners: having more than one tRNA (with a specific anti-codon) for a particular amino acid; and 'wobble' base-pairing, i.e. permitting non-standard base-pairing at the 3rd anti-codon position. The record is from RNAcentral. Lineage: Bacteria; Pseudomonadati; Pseudomonadota; Gammaproteobacteria; Enterobacterales; Enterobacteriaceae.